UGGGGAAUCUUGCACAAUGGAGGAAACUCUGAUGCAGCGACGCCGCGUGAGCGAAGAAGCCUUUCGGGGUGUAAAGCUCUUACGCCAGGGACGAUAAUGACGGUACCUGGAGAAGCAGCUGCGGCUAACUACGUGCCAGCAGCCGCGGUAAUACGUAGGCAGCAAGCGUUGUUCGGAAUUACUGGGCGUAAAGGGUGCGUAGGCGGACUUCUAAGUGAGAUGUGAAAUACCCGGGCUCAACCUGGGUGCUGCAUUUCAAACUGGAAGUCUAGAGUGCAGGAGAGGAGAGUGGAAUUCCUAGUGUAGCGGUGAAAUGCGUAGAGAUUAGGAAGAACACCAGUGGCGAAGGCGACUCUCUGGACUGUAACUGACGCUGAGGCUCGAAAGCGUGGGGAGCAAACA
RNAcentral lists this ribosomal RNA (402 nucleotides) under uncultured bacterium. RNAcentral's name for it is "bacterial SSU rRNA". It matches the Rfam family "Bacterial small subunit ribosomal RNA", at positions 355 to 774 of the family's 1533-position model. The record is from RNAcentral.